Zalophus californianus (California sea lion) is the source of this 713-nucleotide long non-coding RNA. RefSeq lists it as uncharacterized. The transcript has 3 exons. The record is from RefSeq and is a predicted model, not a curated record. Lineage: Eukaryota; Metazoa; Chordata; Mammalia; Carnivora; Otariidae.
CUUCUGUUCUCAGUGAUUGGCCCCGGCGGAGGUAGGCCUAGACUUAAAGGGACUGCGCCCUCCAGGGGCACGCGGGAGGGAAGUGACCUGUGGAGUUUGUAGCGGAGUUGGACCACUAACAAGUUCCAGGGUUCCUUUUGGCGCUGGAAAAAAUUUGGAAGUCACCUGGCCUGGUUAUCCGCUAUUUUCAGAAGCCCAGAGAGACUGCGCCGCUGGUUCCAACUGCACACAGCGCUCCUCCUGCUCUUCCAGAAUCGAGGAAAGUUUGCUUCCCCAAGCAGGAGGACUGCAGAAGUGACCGGUGCUGAGCCAACCCCUCUCCACGCCUGCUCCCCUUUGGGCUCAGGGACCCCUGAUUCUAGGGCUGAGCCAGGGCCUGUGUGCAGAUGGAGCUACACUGGCCCCGACUCCUGUUCUGGAAGUUUGUUCCUGCCUCAAAGACUUGGAGCCCACGACUGCCGCCAAUCUCUGCUCAUCUGGCUGCUCAUCCUCCCAGCCGCAGCUUGAAGAGGUUCCCCUGACCUCUCCCUCUGCAGGGCUCCCCAGUUCCCCUCUGUUCCGUCCUUCUUGUGCUUCAGGCCCCACAGUGGCCUCAUCUACUUAUGUGUUACUGGUUUGACUGUCUUCCCCACUAGAUUGUAAGCCCCAUGCAGUAGAGACCUCAUUCUCUGCUAUAUUGGUGCCUGGGUGGUACCAAAUAAAUGGAUGUGUAA